RNAcentral lists this ribosomal RNA (532 nucleotides) under Streptomyces rochei. RNAcentral's name for it is "bacterial SSU rRNA". It matches the Rfam family "Bacterial small subunit ribosomal RNA", at positions 963 to 1487 of the family's 1533-position model. Lineage: Bacteria; Bacillati; Actinomycetota; Actinomycetes; Kitasatosporales; Streptomycetaceae. The record is from RNAcentral.
GAAGAACCUUAACAAAGGCUUGACAUACACCGGAAAAUCCCUGGAGACAGGGUCCCCCUUGUGGUCGGUGUACAGGUGGUGCAUGGCUGUCGUCAGCUCGUGUCGCGAGAUGUUGGGUUAAGUCCCGCAACGAGCGCAACCCUUGUCCCGUGUUGCCAGCAGGCCCUUGUGGUGCUGGGGACUCACGGGAGACCGCCGGGGUCAACUCGGAGGAAGGUGGGGACGACGUCAAGUCAUCAUGCCCCUUAUGUCUUGCGCUGCACACGUGCUACAAUGGCCGGUACAAUGAGCUGCGAUCCCGCGAGGUGGAGCGAAUCUCAAAAAGCCGGUCUCAGUUCGGAUUGGGGUCUGCAACUCGACCCCAUGAAGUCGGAGUCGCUAGUAAUCGCAGAUCAGCAUUGAUGCGGUGAAUACGUUCCCGGGCCUCUACACACCGCCGGUCAAGUCACGAAAGUCGGUAACACCCGAAGCCGGGGCCCAACCCCUUGUGGGAGGGAGCUGUCGAAGGUGGGACUGGCGAUGGGACGAAGUC